UACGUAGGUGACCAGCGUUGUCCGGAUUUACUGGGCGUAAAGAGCGCGCAGGCGGUCGUUCAAGUCGAGUGUGAAAGCCCCCGGCUCAACUGGGGAGGGUCACUCGAUACUGAUCGACUUGAAGGCAGGAGAGGGAAGCGGAAUUCCCGGUGUAGUGGUGAAAUGCGUAGAUAUCGGGAGGAACACCAGUGGCGAAGGCGGGUCUCUGGGCAUCUCCUGACGCUGAGGCGCGAAAGCGUGGGGAGCAAACGGG
Molecule: ribosomal RNA, 253 nt
Filed under: uncultured bacterium
Lineage: Bacteria
Description: partial 16S ribosomal RNA
Rfam family: Bacterial small subunit ribosomal RNA
Source: RNAcentral